GAAGAUUCUGUUCAAGAGAAGGUGGAAGUAAUCAGCUUGGGGAAGGCAAGGCUCUUUCUUCCCCUGUUGCAUCUUCAGAGGCCCCAGUAUCUUCAUCAUUCAGAGCAGAUUCAUGUGAGUUUUUGCAAUCAGGAGAAAAAAAAAAAGCAUUCAAGAAAAGGAACACUGCACCUUACGUACAGAGUCUACUUAUCAACAGUUAAAUCACCUUGCAGAGUGAGGCUCCUGGUUUAUGUGCUGUGCAACGUGGGGGCGGGACCCACGAGUUUAAAAGCAGAGGCAAGGAUGCAAAACAUUUCUAUUGCAAUGAAAGAUGGAGUUGAUGAGUACCUUGCAAGACUGGGCCACCACUACUUCAAGGAUGAUCCCACAUUCUGGGGACCUCAGGAAAUGCACCAAUGCAGUCUACUCAGUGACUUGCUAAAUAAAUAAGUGCUAAAUCACAUCAACCUCUGCAAGAAGUCAGGAAAAAAUGGAAAAUGUGUCGCUGCUGUCAUCCCAAGUUUUGUUUGCAUUUAUUUACAUUAAAGCUCUUGUUUCUGUAGGACUUUUGAGGCUGAUUUUGUUCUUGUCUCUUCUGGGUUUCAAGAAUAUAUUGUAAGCACUACGUCAAGUCUCAGUGUUGCUUGUAUUACAUCUACAUACUGCAAAAUCAUGUGGUCUGAAUUAUGCUCCUAGGAAAGCAUAUUAGCA
RNAcentral lists this long non-coding RNA (693 nucleotides) under Chrysolophus pictus (golden pheasant). RNAcentral describes it as "lncRNA (ENSCPIG00010014452.1)". Lineage: Eukaryota; Metazoa; Chordata; Aves; Galliformes; Phasianidae. The record is from RNAcentral.